GCUACCAACAUUAGGUCUACCAAUUUAAGACAUUAACACAUUCACUAGUCAAUUAUGAAAGGGCUACCAACAUUAGGUCUACCAAUUCCUGAUCAUUAAGACAUUAAGUCAAGAUACAUUCAUUAUUCGUAAAGAGGAUGCCUAAGCCUACCAAUUCUAAAUUCAACAUUCACAUUAUAGAAACCCUUCACAUUCAUCAUUAUCAUUCAUGAGUGUCAUAUUGAGAAAUAGCCUUUCAAUACUAACACAAAUACAUUGAGUACAUGUUCAUUAUUCUAUCAUUGAGUCACAUGUAAAUCCUUCACAUUAUACACUCACAUAUACAAUAACAUUAUAAUGAUCACAAUGUACAUAGUAAGUAAACACCUCCACAUUUCAAGUGGAUAAACAAUUCAAGCUCAAUUCUACAUUAACAUGAAAUUAGGUCAAACUUUCCCUUUCAAGGCUAUGAUCACAAAUCCUCAAUUCACCAACAAUUCACCAUAAGUAGACAUAGAUAUUGAUACAACUAAAUAAUCUAAAUCAAUCUACACAUAAAUCCAUCAUCAUUCAAUCAUAAUCAACAAACCCACUUUAUAAGUCACAAUUUAGGAAUUGAGAGGAAUCAUGGGUUCAAGGAGAAAAA
This 625-nucleotide long non-coding RNA is filed under the name Solanum tuberosum (potato). RNAcentral's name for it is "long non-coding RNA (STUB_LNC004006)". Lineage: Eukaryota; Viridiplantae; Streptophyta; Magnoliopsida; Solanales; Solanaceae. The record is from RNAcentral.